AUGCCAAGUGACGUCUUUCCCUGGGCUAUCGGUAGCGAGGAGAGCGGGCGAGCAAGCCUAAAGGAAAACGAAGCCUGGGGCAGCGCAGCCUGCCCUGCGGCACCCCGGCCGCGCGCGUGGCACCCUCGACAGCCUCGCACGGGCGCCGCGGCUGCCACGCACGGUGGGCAGCGCACGGCCUCCGUGUGCUCCUCGGGGGAAACCGUCCUCUCCCUGCUCGCUCCCCCCAAGCCCUUUAAUCGCACCCCGCUUGUUCUUAACGCCGGCCGGCUGCCGCAGCCCGAGCCCUGCCCUCCAGGGAGGCCGCGAGAACGCGGUGCUCAGGGCUCGGCGACCGCUGGGGAGCUCUUCCACCCAAAUUACCCCAUGACGAAGCAACCCGGCCGACUGCAGGGCGAUAGCCGGGCCUGGCCGGCUGCCUUCAAGGCGGCCCGCUGGCAGCAGCCUGGCCCUCAGCAGCGCCGCCGUGGCCGGUCGCCAACGGCCGCCGCGGGCCGCGCCACGCCCCCCGGCUGCCAGCGAGCGGCACCAGAGCGCCCGCUGCGGCGCUUCCGUUGGGCCGCCCGUGCGGCGGCCAUCUUGGGCUCUGGAAGUGAAGCCGCCGCCACUGAGCCAAGGAAGUGCCUCGCGCCGCCCGGCAGAGGGGGAGCCGGUUGCGGCGCGUUGCACCUGCCCCUGCGGACGCGGAGGCUGCUCCUGAGGAGUGGGGGGGUUUGCCCUGUUCUUACGCCCUCACCGCAGGGGUUCGCAUGCUUCCUCGGCAAUGAACGCGGCCAGAAGUGGCUACCGCGUCUUCUCGGCAAACUCCACGGCGGCCUGCACCGAGCUGGCAAAGAGGAUCACAGAGAUGUAGUGAUGAAAAYGGACCAGUGGUUUUCUCUAUCUUGUGUCUUUAACACCAAUUUCCGUGCUGGAAAGUCUGGAUUGCAGCUGAGGACUGUUACUUCUUGGAAGGGAGAAGUCCUCAGCGCGGAUAAUCCCCGUGAAGCUGACUGUGCUGUUUGUCCGGGAUCGCUGGUGUUGAUGGGACGGAUGGAGGGGACCACCGACGAGCUGAGCCCUCUUUGGAUGAGAGGUUGCAAAAGAUGCGUGACUGCUGCCUUUCCCCCCGUGCCACAUCCCAGCGUGUACUUUGCUGGGGAGGGCAGUUGCACCCUAAAAUAG
RNAcentral lists this long non-coding RNA (1164 nucleotides) under Apteryx haastii (Great spotted kiwi). RNAcentral describes it as "lncRNA (ENSAHAG00000005903.1)". Lineage: Eukaryota; Metazoa; Chordata; Aves; Apterygiformes; Apterygidae. The record is from RNAcentral.